Molecule: ribosomal RNA, 253 nt
Filed under: uncultured prokaryote
Description: partial 16S ribosomal RNA
Rfam family: Bacterial small subunit ribosomal RNA
Source: RNAcentral
AACGUAGGUGGCAAGCGUUAUCCGGAUUUACUGGGCGUAAAGGGUGUGCAGGCGGCUCGCUAAGUGGUGUAUGAAAUCGCCGGGCUAAACCUGGCGGGGUUAUGCCAGACUGGCGGGCUAGAGUGCGGGAGAGGGACGUGGAAUUCCGGGUGUAGUGGUGAAAUGCGUAGAGAUCCGGAGGAACCCCAGAGGCGAAGGCGGCGUCCUGGCCCGACACUGACGCUCAGACACGAGAGCAUGGGGAGCGAACGGG